Long non-coding RNA from Pyrus x bretschneideri (Chinese white pear), 588 nucleotides. RefSeq lists it as uncharacterized. The transcript has 5 exons. The record is from RefSeq and is a predicted model, not a curated record. Lineage: Eukaryota; Viridiplantae; Streptophyta; Magnoliopsida; Rosales; Rosaceae.
UUAAUUUCUUUGGGUAAUUGUCUGCUUUGAAUGUAAUGUGCUUGCGAGUGUAAAUUUGGAUUUUAAAUGGGUUUUUUGUUCAAAUUUUUUGGUUGUGAUUUUGGGAAUUUUGUUUUGUAGCUUCGGAUUAUAGGUGAUGAUGGUUAAUUUGGUUUUGUUUUCGAUUUCAGGAGAUUGGGUUUUUCGAGUUUGUGACUGUUCUUUGGAGCCUGCGAAGACCUGUGUGUUUAAGGAGAUUGGGUUUUUCGAGUUUGUGACUGUUCUUUGGAGCCUGCGAAGACCUGUGUGUUUAAGGAGAUUGGGUUUUUCGAGUUUGUGACUGUUCUUUGGAGCCUGCGAAGACCUGUGUGUUUAAGGAGUUGUGGGUCUUCAUUUUUUGGGGCCUUUUUCUCUGCCAUUGUAACAUUUUCGUAAUAGAGUUUUAAGAUUUUUGGAGGACUACAACAUAUCAAGUAUGGAGGGAAUUGAUAGAAGCGAUAUGUCAGAGGUUGUUACCUUAUCUGCAUUAUUCCUCUUUUGUACAUAUGAUAUAUUUUUUCUUCUUUUUCAAAAAUAAAAUAAAAUUCAUUAUGUUUAGCAAUUUCUCAA